AACGAACGCUGGCGGCAGGCUUAACACAUGCAGGUCGAGCGCCCCGCCAGGGGAGCGGCAGACGGGUGAGUAACGCGUGGGAACGUACCUUUUGGUUCGGAACAACUCCGGGAAACUGGAGCUAAUACCGGAUAAGCCCUAACGGGGAAAGAUUUAUCGCCGAAAGAUCGGCCCGCGUCUGAUUAGCUAGUUGGUGAGGUAACGGCUCACCAAGGCGACGAUCAGUAGCUGGUCUGAGAGGAUGAUCAGCCACACUGGGACUGAGACACGGCCCAGACUCCUACGGGAGGCAGCAGAGGGGAAUAUUGGACAAUGGGCGCAAGACUGAUACAGCCAUGACGCGUGAGUGAUGAAGGCCUUAGGGUUGUAAAGCUCUUUUGUCCGGGAAGAUAAUGACUGUACCGGAAGAAUAAGCCACGGCUAACUUCGUG
RNAcentral lists this ribosomal RNA (431 nucleotides) under uncultured bacterium. RNAcentral's name for it is "partial 16S ribosomal RNA". It matches the Rfam family "Bacterial small subunit ribosomal RNA", at positions 29 to 507 of the family's 1533-position model. The record is from RNAcentral.